CCUACGGGUGGCAGCAGUGGGGAAUAUUGCACAAUGGGGGAAACACUGAUGCAGCAACGCCGCGUGAGUGAAGAAGUAUUUCGGUAUGUAAAGCUCUAUCAGCAGGGAAGAAAAUGACGGUACCUGAGUAAGAAGCACCGGCUAACUACGUGCCAGCAGCCGCGGGAAUACGUAGGGGGCAAGCGUUAUACGGAUUUACUGGGUGUAAAGGGAGCGUAGACGGCGAUACAAGUCUGAAGUGAAAGCCCGGGGCGCAACCCCGGGACUGCUUUGGAAACUGUGUUGCGGGAGUGCUGGAGAGGCAAGCGGAAUUCCUAGUGUAGCGGUGAAAUGCGUAGAUAUUAGGAAGAACACCAGUGGCGAAGGCGGCUUGCUGGACAGUCACUGACGUUGAGGCUCGAAAGCGUGGGGAGCAAACAGGAUUAGAUACCCCGGUAGUC
This 440-nucleotide ribosomal RNA is filed under the name uncultured bacterium. Its description in RNAcentral is "partial 16S ribosomal RNA". It matches the Rfam family "Bacterial small subunit ribosomal RNA", at positions 338 to 795 of the family's 1533-position model. The record is from RNAcentral.